This 564-nucleotide unclassified non-coding RNA is filed under the name Hevea brasiliensis (rubber tree). The record is from RNAcentral. Lineage: Eukaryota; Viridiplantae; Streptophyta; Magnoliopsida; Malpighiales; Euphorbiaceae.
UUUUUUUUUUUUUUUUAUGUCUUAAAAAAAAAGACGGCGAUUGGCCAACGCUGCUGAGUUUCAUAGUGGUUCUCCGCAUUGCAACAUUAUAAUCUAGUUUUUGUUUUUGACAUUAUUAGUGCUUGAAUGGUAUUCUAUUAUUGCAGGAUGGUUCUUAAUGCCCUCACUGAUCCACUUCAAUAUAGGACUAAAAUCUCUUAAUUUUUCAUUUGCCAUGAGAUGCCUGCUAUUGAUGUUGAUUGAUUGGUCCUGAUAUGGACUAUCUGACUUCUUAUAAAUAAUUAUUUUAAAAUUCUUCAUGGUGCUCAGAUAACUCAUUUCUCAUUGUUACUAAGCUAUGUGACUGGAAUUUAUUGAAAUACUGUUGCACUAGAAAGAUAUGAGAUGCAUAUGAUAGACAUGUAAUGCAAACUAAAACAUGGCUUGUCACAGUUUGGGAUAUUAUUGGAUUUGAAGCACUGUAAUUUGUGUCAAAUUACUUAUAUCUGUUUGUAGCUUUUAGUUGUAAGAUAGUGUUGGGAGCAUUGAUGAAUUGAGUUGCAGUUAUGUGUGUGGAGCAUUGAU